Molecule: long non-coding RNA, 2155 nt
Organism: Hypanus sabinus (Atlantic stingray)
Lineage: Eukaryota; Metazoa; Chordata; Chondrichthyes; Myliobatiformes; Dasyatidae
Exons: 3
Source: RefSeq, a predicted model, not a curated record
CUGUGCCUACUUAAAACAUAUUAUAAGUGCUGUUGAAAUGCCUUAGACCUGAACCUUUAAUUCUAUUUUUUUUCCACCAAUACUGCCUAAUCUGAUGUUUGAUCUACUUAUAUUUCAGAUUUCUAGAAGAACAUCAGUUAUCGAGGAAGAAUUAGGCCAUUCAGCCCAUCAAGCCUGCUCCACUAUUCAAUCAUGGCUGAGUUAUUUUAACCCCAUUCUCUCAUCUUCUCCCUGUAGCUGUCAAUCUUUUUACCAAUCAAUCUUUGCCUUAAGUGUGCCCAGUGACUUGGCCUUCAGAGAUCUCUGGGCAACAAAUUCCACAGAUUUACCACCCUCCAGCUGAAAGAAAUCCACUUUGGUUUUGAAGGUCUAUCCUCUUAUUCUGUGCCCUUCUGACCAAUGCAUGAUAAAACUUCAGUAGUAUGUGCUUGCUUUUAGUCUUCUAGAAGUGCAUGCUAACAUUGGCCUUCUUACUAUCAACUCAACCUGCGAGUCAAAGGCCUUUUGAAAAUCCAAGUGAAUUCACUCUAGCCUUUGAGGAAACAGUAAAAUGCUGCAGAUAGCAGAAACACUCAACAGGUCAGAGAGGAUCUGUGGCAGGAAAAACAAAGUAAACAUUUGAGAUUCAUAAGUGUCCAAAAUCAAGUCCUCACUGUACAUAACACAGGAAGUUUCUUUUGGUGGCAUGUGGCAUGUUCUUCAGGACAUUUGGAGCAGAAACUAGGGCUCCUUGGUAAAUCAGGUAGGACUACAUUGAGCACCAUCAGAAACCCAGAAAAGACAAAGGUGAGUCUUUUCUUCAGAAUCGACAGUCAGCCCAUGGUACUUCCCUUUCUUCUUUUGUCCUCUCCUCUCCUCAAAAAAUGAACCAAUGGAACAUCCCACUCACUUCCUUACACGACAAACCAAACUUCCUUCAAACCUUCCCUUUGACACAAGUCCUCAAGUCUCAAGCUAAGUUUUAUUCCUAUUCCCACUGAAGUUCCAUUCUAUAAAGGACAUAUUUUGCAUUCAUGACCUCACUCACAGUGCUGGUCUUAUGUUUUAGCUGGUCAUGGCCCUUGCAUUUUAUUUCACGACCUACACUGAACUUUCUCUGUAACCACAACACUAUAGUACAUCGAACAUACUGUGGAACACUACAGCACAGUACACUUUAUCCCAUGAUGAUUUGCAAACCCUUUAACCUACUCUAAAAUCAGUCUAACCUCAAAGAAUUUCUGCUCUGAGAAAAAGUCUCUAGUUAUCCACUCAAUCUAUGCCUUUUAUCAUCUUGUACACCACAAGUCAGCUCUAUACUCGCUUCACUAACUAUAUUCUGCUUUUCAUUGUAUAUUUUUAUUUUAUACCGUUUCAGUGUACUUACCUUUGGAAUGAUCUGUCUGGGUGGCAUGGAAACAAAAGCUUUUUGCUGAUCUUAUACAUGUCAAAACAAUAAUCGAAUUACAAAUUACAACCAGUCCUGUCUUCAUGCUGCCUUCUAUCUCCAGACAGAUAAUGCCAAAGGUCAGGAUUGAACCAGGUUCACUGGAGCUGUGGGGCAUCAGCUCUCUCCACUGUAUCAUGGUGCCAUAUUUAUCUCUUCAAGUACAGUUAAAUUAUUGUCUUCUCUCUGUGUUGCAGUGUAGUUUGGAGAAGCUACUUGAUGCUGAAUAGAGUAAAUGUGGACCUCCUAUGUUUUGCUGCAAUUGUUCCCAACUUCACACUACAGUCAGAACAAUGAUGGAAGGGAGGUCAUUAAUGAAGAUAGCUCAGCACAGGGCACUGCCCUGGGGUACUCUCUCCAUAGUGGCCUGAGACUGGGAUGAUUGACAACCAUAAUCAUUUUCUUUUAUGGCAGAUAAUGAAGGCAGAAGGUCAAAGAGUGAAGGAGAAGUUUAAAGACCCCUUUUCACUCAAGAAAUGGCUACAAGCACAACGUAGCUUUUGGGAACUUCAGCCCACAAAACAGGGUGAGCAGGGUCAUUUGUUCACUGGGAGAUGAAGGGAGAAGAUGCUGGAGAGAAGAGGUCGUAGGACUCAACCCAGAGUGGGGCCAUGAUUCGACGAAGCCUGGGGAGAUCGAAGAAGGAUCAGUGAAGCGGAAACCAUGAGCUCCAACUUGUGCACAUUAGACUGUCUCAUUAAAAUUAGCCCUUUUUUUUACUUUUUCUAU